Molecule: ribosomal RNA, 253 nt
Filed under: uncultured bacterium
Lineage: Bacteria
Description: partial 16S ribosomal RNA
Rfam family: Bacterial small subunit ribosomal RNA
Source: RNAcentral
UACGGAGGGGGCUAGCGUUGUCCGGAUUUAUUGGGCGUAAAGAGCGUGUAGGCGGCCAGGGAGGUCCGUUGUGAAAACUCGAGGCUCAACCUCGAGACGCCGAUGGAAACCCCCUGGCUAGAGUCCGGAAGAGGAGAAUGGAAUUCCUGGUGUAGCGGUGAAAUGCGCAGAUAUCAGGAAGAACACCCGUGGCUAAGGCGGUUCUCUAGUACGGUACUGACGCUGAGACGCGAAAGCGUGGGGAGCGAACAGG